GAUGAACGCUGGCGGCGUGCCUAACACAUGCAAGUCGAACGGACUUAUUUUGGAAACUCUUUCGGGAGCGGAAUUCAUAAGUUAGUGGCGGACGGGUGAGUAACGCGUGAGCAAUCUGCCCUUAGGUGGGGGAUAACAGCCGGAAACGGCUGCUAAUACCGCAUAAUGCAGCGGGAUCGCAUGGUUCUGCUGCCAAAGAUUUAUUGCCUUUGGAUGAGCUCGCGUCUGAUUAGCUAGUUGGCGGGGCAACGGCCCACCAAGGCGACGAUCAGUAGCCGGACUGAGAGGUUGAACGGCCACAUUGGGACUGAGACACGGCCCAG
This 323-nucleotide ribosomal RNA is filed under the name uncultured bacterium. RNAcentral describes it as "bacterial SSU rRNA". It matches the Rfam family "Bacterial small subunit ribosomal RNA", at positions 28 to 334 of the family's 1533-position model. The record is from RNAcentral.